AUGGCCAUCACCACCACCAAUGAUGCCGCUGCGCCAACCCAUGCCGCGAAUAGCACGGGCAACCAGGCCGGCCGCGACCACGUGGUCCUGUUCCCGUUCAUGGCCAAGGGCCACACCCCGCCACUGCUUCACUUCACCAGGGCGCUCACCGAGCACCAAAAGAACCUCCGCAUCACCAUGAUCGUCACGCCCGCCAACCUCGCCUUCGCCCGCAGCCGCCUCCCGGCGUCGGUGCGGCUUGCCGUUCUCCCGUUCCCGUCACUGCCGCCACUGCCAUCCGGCGUCGAGUCCACAGACACCCUGCCUGGCCCGGACCUAUACCCGAUGUUCCUGCGCGCCACGGCGCUCCUGCGGGAGCCCUUCACGGAGUUCUGGGCGUCGCUCCCGGCCCCGCCGCUCGUGCUCAUUUCCGACUUCUUCCUCGGGUUCACGCACCGCAUUGCGGCCGACGCAGGCAUCCGCCGCAUCGUGUUCCACAACAUGUCCUGCUUCUCCAUGGCCACCUGCAAAUCGCUCAUGCCGAGCCCACCGCCGUCCAGCGCCCAGCACGGCGCAAGCUUCCAUGUGUCCCGCAUGUCGGAAUACGUAAGGAUCAUGGCUACGGAUGUCCCGAACACGAUCGCCAAGAUCGCCGAUGCCGAGGAUCCAGUGACACGGUUCCUUAUCAAUGACAUCGACGACUCUGACGGGCACAACUGGGGCGUCCUGGUCAACAGCUUCGCCAUGUUGGAGGAGUACUACGUAUCGGCCUUCAUGUUGUUCUACCAGCCAGACGCGCGCGCCUGGCUGGCAGGCCCUCUGUUUCUCGCCGCCGGUGACAUGCCGGAGCAUGUGGAAGAGCAGGACCCCAAGGGGUGCCUCGCCUGGCUCGACGAGAUGGCGGAGCGAUCGGAGUCAGUGAUCUACGUGUCGUUUGGGACGCAGGCCCAUGUCUCCGAUGAGCAGCUCGACGAGCUGGCGCUCGGGAUGGUGCGGUCCGGCCACCCCUUCCUCUGGGCCGUCCGGUCCGGCACGUGGUCGCCGCUGGUGGACGCGGGGCCACACGGAAGGAUCGUCCGCAGGUGGAUCCCACAGAGGAGCGUGCUAGCUUGUUAG
Molecule: ribosomal RNA, 1095 nt
Filed under: Triticum aestivum (bread wheat)
Lineage: Eukaryota; Viridiplantae; Streptophyta; Magnoliopsida; Poales; Poaceae
Description: partial small subunit ribosomal RNA
Source: RNAcentral